GGGUCGAUUAGGUCAUAAAGACUAAGAGUCAAAUGUUUAUAAAGAAUCACACUUCCUACACAUGCUAGUUGAAUUUUUCAGAUAUUCUAUCCUAUGCCACAAAGAGCAUGCAACUUGUUCAAGUCAAUGACCUUUUUAGAAUAUUUAGCUCAUACCUUACACAAGAGAUAAACACGUGACACCAAGUCAAGUUUAAAAAAAGGUAUCAACUAAAUUUCUAAAAGAGGUACAACAAGAUAACUUGAAAAGGUUACAUGCAAGAGCACACACUAGAAUGAGAAUAUGGCCUAGAUGCAUAAAGGUAGGAACAAGAGUGCGUGAGAACAUACCUUCAUCCUUAGCCAUCCAUCUUGUGCAUGUUUCAUUUUAGACACGACGCUAGCUCUUAUUUAAUCUUUCUUGGUCAUAGCACAAAGAGGUGAGAUAGCAUAUGGUGCGCAAGUAUAUGAGACUACAAGAUCAUUAGAAGAAAUUGUUAGUCCCAAGAGUGACACAAGUAUUGGAAUAACCUCCC
RNAcentral lists this long non-coding RNA (514 nucleotides) under Setaria viridis. RNAcentral's name for it is "long non-coding RNA (SVIR_LNC005342)". The record is from RNAcentral. Lineage: Eukaryota; Viridiplantae; Streptophyta; Magnoliopsida; Poales; Poaceae.